Molecule: long non-coding RNA, 473 nt
Organism: Hirundo rustica (Barn swallow)
Lineage: Eukaryota; Metazoa; Chordata; Aves; Passeriformes; Hirundinidae
Exons: 3
Source: RefSeq, a predicted model, not a curated record
AGGAGUGCCGAGUACAGCCGAGUUUAGCCGAACAGCCGAACACAGCCGAGACCUGGCGAAAAGGGACGAGUUUAGCCGAAGAGCCGAACCCACCCGAGUUUAGCCGACUUCUGCUGCAUCGAGCCGAGCGCAGCCGCGCUCAGCCGAACCCAGCGAGCUGCGCCGAACCGAGCUGAGAGCUGCCAGAGGAGCUGCCAUGACUCCAGUGUCAUUGGUGAGGCAGUUUCUGCUCUGAGGAGUUUUUGAACGCUGCUCAACAGCAACAGACCUCAUCCUGCAUGUUUGAAGACUGUAGCUGCUGAAAGGCUGAGGUGAGACCAGGAUCUGCAGUCCCUGACUCUCCGUGUCUUGCUGAGGCUGAAGCCACGUUUGCUGUCAAUGACGACUUAGUGGAAGAUGCUAAAGACUGAAAACUUGUGGUUUUUUCCCUGAAUGUCAAGACUCUCUCUGCAGCUGUGCUCUCUUAAAAGAGU